Zerene cesonia (dogface butterfly) is the source of this 979-nucleotide long non-coding RNA. RefSeq lists it as uncharacterized. The record is from RefSeq and is a predicted model, not a curated record. NCBI's taxonomy places the organism in Eukaryota, Metazoa, Arthropoda, Insecta, Lepidoptera, Pieridae. The transcript has 2 exons.
CGCUAUCUGGAUCAACGAACGGCAGGUGCUUGUGACGCCGUCGACAAAGCCGUCAACGGCUGAAGUACGAGCGUCACGUUGCGAGUUUACGCGCACGUUCAUUUCACUUCCGCCGUCGGUUAAACGCACGAGCGAGCGUAGGAAAGAAAGAAAAUAACGUUCUUUGAGAAAAGAUAAUAUCAGGCAUUCGCAGAGCGGUGGCUGUCGGCUCGCCCCACCGCGGCGCGGUUUGCGCGCGCUCGGCCGCCAUUGGUCCGUUCGAACCGGCGCUCUGCCCUUCCCGCCUCACGCGCAGCGUCUAGAUUUUUAGAUUUCAAAUCUCGACCGUUUAUUUCGCGGUGAGCGUCCGUAGCGCGCGGUCGUGUUACGUCACCGGAUACGCGCGUUCUAAUUUCAAUAUUGUUUAAAAAACACGGCAACGUGCUCGUUAUUGUUCGGUUCGGUGCAACGUGACAUCGAGAACGAUUAGUGCGUGCAGUGCGACGUACCUAUCCCGGGAUAUCGCCGCGCCGGUCAAAGGUCAAUUUCUUUCGAUGAGUGGAGGUUUAGUGCAUGUCUUUACAUCAUGACUAGAUCCACACUCAUCCAUGGAAGUUGCGAUGUUCUACAUACAGCGAGGACUCGAGCGCGAUGGCGGCUCGGUGAUUAUGGCCGGCUAUCAUUACCGGUGCCGUACUAAUGAUACGUUGAGCGCAGGUACGCAACUCGCGGAGGUAAUCGGCGUCUACCUGCGCGCUUCUCGCGGCAACCGAAAUGUCGUUACACGACCCGUUUUAACUAUUGCUUGCCCAAAAGCGGAAAGGGCGCGGCUAAUAGCGGCGCAAGCGCAUCUGCUCCUUCUAAGAAAGGCUAUUGUGGCGGGUCUCGCAGUGGUCAGUGAGCUGACGUCACGGGUUGGGGCCGACAACCUGACGCUGACAAACGUCCCCUCACCCCUCAAUUGCGUGCAAAUUACCAUACACAUCCGACGGAAUGCAAA